The sequence is a ribosomal RNA, 680 nucleotides long. It matches the Rfam family "Bacterial small subunit ribosomal RNA", at positions 764 to 1440 of the family's 1533-position model.
GGGAGCGAACAGGAUUAGAUACCCUGGUAGUCCAUGCCGUAAACGUUGGGCACUAGGUGUGGGGACCAUUCCACGGUUUCCGCGCCGCAGCUAACGCAUUAAGUGCCCCGCCUGGGGAGUACGGCCGCAAGGCUAAAACUCAAAGGAAUUGACGGGGGCCCGCACAAGCGGCGGAGCAUGCGGAUUAAUUCGAUGCAACGCGAAGAACCUUACCAAGGCUUGACAUGUUCUCGAUCGCCGUAGAGAUACGGUUUCCCCUUUGGGGCGGGUUCACAGGUGGUGCAUGGUUGUCGUCAGCUCGUGUCGUGAGAUGUUGGGUUAAGUCCCGCAACGAGCGCAACCCUCGUUCCAUGUUGCCAGCACGUCGUGGUGGGGACUCAUGGGAGACUGCCGGGGUCAACUCGGAGGAAGGUGAGGACGACGUCAAAUCAUCAUGCCCCUUAUGUCUUGGGCUUCACGCAUGCUACAAUGGCCGGUACAAUGGGUUGCGAUACUGUGAGGUGGAGCUAAUCCCAAAAAGCCGGUCUCAGUUCGGAUUGGGGUCUGCAACUCGACCCCAUGAAGUCGGAGUCGCUAGUAAUCGCAGAUCAGCAACGCUGCGGUGAAUACGUUCCCGGGCCUUGUACACACCGCCCGUCAAGUCACGAAAGUUGGUAACACCCGAAGCCGGUGGCCUAACC